GAUGAACGCUGGCGGCGUGCCUAAUACAUGCAAGUCGAGCGAACGGACGAGAAGCUUGCUUCUCUGAUGUUAGCGGCGGACGGGUGAGUAACACGUGGAUAACCUACCUAUAAGACUGGGAUAACUUCGGGAAACCGGAGCUAAUACCGGAUAAUAUUUUGAACCGCAUGGUUCAAAAGUGAAAGACGGUCUUGCUGUCACUUAUAGAUGGAUCCGCGCUGCAUUUGCUAGUUGGUAAGGUAACGGCUUACCAAGGCAACGAUGCAUAGCCGACCUGAGAGGGUGAUCAGCCACACUGGAACUGAGACACGGUCCAGACUCCUACGGGAGGCAGCAGUAGGGAAUCUUCCGCAAUGGGCGAAAGCCUGACGGAGCAACGCCGCGUGAGUGAUGAAGGUCUUCGGAUCGUAAAACGCUGUUAUUAGGGAAGAACAUAUGUGUAAUUAACUGUGCACAUCUUGACGGUACCUAAUCAGAAAGCCACGGCUAACUACGUG
Molecule: ribosomal RNA, 497 nt
Filed under: uncultured bacterium
Lineage: Bacteria
Description: partial 16S ribosomal RNA
Rfam family: Bacterial small subunit ribosomal RNA
Source: RNAcentral